UGGGGAAUAUUGGACAAUGGGGGCAACCCUGAUCCAGCCAUGCCGCGUGAGUGAUGAAGGCCUUCGGGUUGUAAAGCUCUUUUGGCGGGGACGAUGAUGACGGUACCCGCAGAAUAAGCCCCGGCUAACUUCGUGCCAGCAGCCGCGGUAAGACGAAGGGGGCUAGCGUUGUUCGGAAUUACUGGGCGUAAAGCGAGUGUAGGCGGUUGCCGUAGUCAGGUGUGAAAGCCUUGAGCUCAACUCAAGAAAUGCACUUGAUACUGGGUGACUAGAGGACCGGAGAGGAUAGUGGAAUUCCCAGUGUAGUGGUGAAAUACGUAGAGAUUGGGAAGAACACCAGUGGCGAAGGCGGCUAUCUGGACGGUUACUGACGCUAAGACUCGAAAGCGUGGGGAGCAAAACAGGAUUAGAUACCCUGGUAGUCCACGCCGUAAAACGAUGGGUGCUAGACGUUGGCGAGCUUGCUCGUCAGUGUCGCAGCUAACGCGUUAAAUCGACCGCCUGGGGAGU
Molecule: ribosomal RNA, 510 nt
Filed under: uncultured bacterium
Lineage: Bacteria
Description: partial 16S ribosomal RNA
Rfam family: Bacterial small subunit ribosomal RNA
Source: RNAcentral